UACGGGGGGGGCAAGCGUUGUUCGGAAUUACUGGGCGUAAAGGGCUCGUAGGUGGUCAACUAAGUCAGACGUGAAAUCCCUCGGCUUAACCGGGGAACUGCGUCUGAUACUGGAUGGCUUGAGGUUGGGAGAGGGAUGCGGAAUUCCAGGUGUAGCGGUGAAAUGCGUAGAUAUCUGGAGGAACGCCGGUGGCGAAGGCGGCAUCCUGGACCAAUUCUGACGCUGAGUGAGCGAAAGCCAGGGGAGCAAACGGG
This 254-nucleotide ribosomal RNA is filed under the name uncultured bacterium. Its description in RNAcentral is "partial 16S ribosomal RNA". It matches the Rfam family "Bacterial small subunit ribosomal RNA", at positions 524 to 776 of the family's 1533-position model. The record is from RNAcentral.